RNAcentral lists this ribosomal RNA (394 nucleotides) under uncultured bacterium. RNAcentral's name for it is "bacterial SSU rRNA". It matches the Rfam family "Bacterial small subunit ribosomal RNA", at positions 355 to 766 of the family's 1533-position model. The record is from RNAcentral.
UCGGGAAUUUUGGGCAAUGGGCGAAAGCCUGACCCAGCAACGCCGCGUGAGGGAUGAAGUAUUUCGGUAUGUAAACCUCGAAAGAAUGGGAAGAAUAAAUGACGGUACCAUUUAUAAGCUCCGGCUAACUACGUGCCAGCAGCCGCGGUAAUACGUAGGGAGCAAGCGUUGUUCGGAUUUACUGGGCGUAAAGGGCGCGUAGGCGGCGCGGUAAGUCACUUGUGAAAUCUCUGAGCUUAACUCAGAACGGCCAAGUGGUACUGCUGUGCUAGAGUGCGGAAGAGGCAACCGGAAUUCUUGGUGUAGCGGUGAAAUGCGUAGAUAUCAAGGGGAACACCUGAGGCGAAGGCGGGUUGCUGGGCGGACACUGACGCUGAUGCGCGAAAGCCAGGGG